UACGUAGGGUGCGAGCGUUAAUCGGAAUUACUGAGCGUAAAGCGUGCGCAGGCGGCGCGUUAAGACAGGUGUGAAAGCCCCGAGCUUAACUUGGGAAUUGCGCUUGUGACUGGCGUGCUGGAGUGUGGCAGAGGGAGGUGGAAUUCCACGUGUAGCAGUGAAAUGCGUAGAGAUGUGGAGGAACACCGAUGGCGAAGGCAGCCUCCUGGGCCAGCACUGACGCUCAUGCACGAAAGCGUGGGGAGCAAACAGG
This 253-nucleotide ribosomal RNA is filed under the name uncultured bacterium. RNAcentral describes it as "partial 16S ribosomal RNA". It matches the Rfam family "Bacterial small subunit ribosomal RNA", at positions 524 to 776 of the family's 1533-position model. The record is from RNAcentral.